Molecule: ribosomal RNA, 459 nt
Filed under: uncultured bacterium
Lineage: Bacteria
Description: SSU rRNA
Rfam family: Bacterial small subunit ribosomal RNA
Source: RNAcentral
AGAAUCAACGCUGGCGGCGUGCCUAACACAUGCAAGUCGCACGAGAAAGGGACUUCGGUCCUGAGUAAAGUGGCGCACGGGUGAGUAACACGUGACUAAUCUACCCUCGAGUGGGGAAUAACCUAGGGAAACCUGGGCUAAUACCGCAUAACACUUACGAGUCAAAGCAGCAAUGCGCUUGGGGAGGAGGUCGCGGCAGAUUAGUUAGUUGGCGGGGUAAUGGCCCACCAAGACGAUGAUCUGUAUCCGGCCUGAGAGGGCGCACGGACACACUGGAACUGAAACACGGUCCAGACUCCUACGGGAGGCAGCAGUGGGGAAUUUUGCGCAAUGGGGGAAACCCUGACGCAGCAACGCCGCGUGGAGGAUGAAGUCUCUUGGGACGUAAACUCCUUUACGACAGGGACGAUAAUGACGGUACCUGUAGAAGAAGCCCGGCUAACUCGUGCCAGCAGCCGC